This 491-nucleotide ribosomal RNA is filed under the name uncultured bacterium. Its description in RNAcentral is "partial 16S ribosomal RNA". It matches the Rfam family "Bacterial small subunit ribosomal RNA", at positions 29 to 506 of the family's 1533-position model. The record is from RNAcentral.
AGUGAACGCUGGCGGUAGGCCUAACACAUGCAAGUCGAACGGCAGCACAGUAAGAGCUUGCUCUUACGGGUGGCGAGUGGCGGACGGGUGAGGAAUACAUCGGAAUCUACUUUUUCGUGGGGGAUAACGUAGGGAAACUUACGCUAAUACCGCAUACGACCUACGGGUGAAAGCAGGGGAUCUUCGGACCUUGCGCGAUUGAAUGAGCCGAUGUCGGAUUAGCUAGUUGGCGGGGUAAAGGCCCACCAAGGCGACGAUCCGUAGCUGGUCUGAGAGGAUGAUAGGCCACACUGAAACUGAGACACGGUCCAGACUCCGAGGGGAGGCAGAAGUGGGGAAUAUUGGAAAAGGGGGGAAAGCCUGAUCAAGCCAUACCGGGUGGGUGAAGAAGGCCUGCGGGUUGUAAAGCCCUUUUGUGGGGAAAGAAAAGAAGCAGGUUAAUACCCCGCUGUUCUGACGGUACCAAAAGAAUAAGCACCGGCUAACUUCGU